This 641-nucleotide ribosomal RNA is filed under the name Salmonella enterica. RNAcentral's name for it is "partial 23S ribosomal RNA". It matches the Rfam family "Bacterial large subunit ribosomal RNA", at positions 2162 to 2802 of the family's 2925-position model. The record is from RNAcentral. Lineage: Bacteria; Pseudomonadati; Pseudomonadota; Gammaproteobacteria; Enterobacterales; Enterobacteriaceae.
GCGUGGACGCCAGUCUGCGUGGAGCCGACCUUGAAAUACCACCCUUUAAUGUUUGAUGUUCUAACGUGGACCCGUGAUCCGGGUUGCGGACAGUGUCUGGUGGGUAGUUUGACUGGGGCGGUCUCCUCCUAAAGAGUAACGGAGGAGCACGAAGGUUGGCUAAUCCUGGUCGGACAUCAGGAGGUUAGUGCAAUGGCAUAAGCCAGCUUGACUGCGAGCGUGACGGCGCGAGCAGGUGCGAAAGCAGGUCAUAGUGAUCCGGUGGUUCUGAAUGGAAGGGCCAUCGCUCAACGGAUAAAAGGUACUCCGGGGAUAACAGGCUGAUACCGCCCAAGAGUUCAUAUCGACGGCGGUGUUUGGCACCUCGAUGUCGGCUCAUCACAUCCUGGGGCUGAAGUAGGUCCCAAGGGUAUGGCUGUUCGCCAUUUAAAGUGGUACGCGAGCUGGGUUUAGAACGUCGUGAGACAGUUCGGUCCCUAUCUGCCGUGGGCGCUGGAGAACUGAGGGGGGCUGCUCCUAGUACGAGAGGACCGGAGUGGACGCAUCACUGGUGUUCGGGUUGUCAUGCCAAUGGCACUGCCCGGUAGCUAAAUGCGGAAGAGAUAAGUGCUGAAAGCAUCUAAGCACGAAACUUGCCCCGA